Molecule: ribosomal RNA, 759 nt
Filed under: Archarius pictus
Lineage: Eukaryota; Metazoa; Arthropoda; Insecta; Coleoptera; Curculionidae
Description: eukaryotic LSU rRNA
Rfam family: Eukaryotic large subunit ribosomal RNA
Source: RNAcentral
AACUAACUAGGAUUCCCUCAGUAGCUGCGAGCGAACAGGGAUAAGCCCAGCACCGAAUCCCGCGGCCGAUACCGGACGCCGGGAAAUGUGGUGUUCGGGAGGGUCCAUUAUCCCGAGGUUAUGCGACGCGUCCAAGUCCUUCUUGAACGGGGCCACAGCCCAUAGAGGGUGCCAGGCCCGUAGUGACCGUCGCUAAUCGCGGGAGGAUCUCUCCUCAGAGUCGGGUUGCUUGAGAGUGCAGCCCUAAGUGGGUGGUAAACUCCAUCUAAGGCUAAAUAUGACCACGAGACCGAUAGCGAACAAGUACCGUGAGGGAAAGUUGAAAAGCACUUUGAAGAGAGAGUUCAAGAGUACGUGAAACCGUUUAGGGGUAAACCUGAGAAACCCGAAAGGUCGAAGGGAGAAAUUCAUUCGCGUUUCGACGUAGGCGUCGGGCUGUCGCGUGACGGAAGGCGUUCGCGCUAUUUCGCAUCUUCAGCUCGUACGAACCGACGGCGAACGCGUGCACUUUUCUCCUGGUAGGACGUCGCGAUCCGUUGGGUGUCGGUCUACGGCUCGCGGUGGAGCCCGUACGUCGUUGCAAAACGUACGUGCGGACCCGCGUGUCCCGGCCGACUCGCUCGACGGUAUACGAAAGGUUUAAGGCCGCUCCCUCGUGAGCGUUCGGCUCGUGGCAAGCGCGCCAGAUGCGUCGGCGAUCGGACCUGGUGCCGAUUCUGACCUCUGGUGACUGUUGGCCACGAUGUUCUCGAACAGACU